RNAcentral lists this ribosomal RNA (713 nucleotides) under uncultured bacterium. Its description in RNAcentral is "bacterial SSU rRNA". It matches the Rfam family "Bacterial small subunit ribosomal RNA", at positions 70 to 777 of the family's 1533-position model. The record is from RNAcentral.
AACAUGUCGGAGCAAUCUGAUGAUGACGAGUGGCGCACGGGUGCGUAACGCGUAUGCAACCUACCCAUAACCGGAACAUAACGUUGAGAAAUCGGCGCUAAUAUUCCAUGUGUAUAUUUUGUGGCAUCAUAGAAUAUAUAAAGAUUAAUUGGUUAUGGAUGGGCAUGCGUAUCAUUAGCUAGUUGGUGGGGUAACGGCCUACCAAGGCUGCGAUGAUUAGGGGUUCUGAGAGGAUAACCCCCCACACUGGAACUGAGACACGGUCCAGACUCCUACGGGAGGCAGCAGUAGGGAAUAUUGGGCAAUGGAGGCAACUCUGACCCAGCCAUGCCGCGUGAAGGAAGACGGUCCUAUGGAUUGUAAACUUCUUUUAUCAUAGAGUAACCGCAGGGACGUGUCCCUGCCUGCAAGUAUAUGAUGAAUAAGCAUCGGCUAACUCCGUGCCAGCAGCCGCGGUAAUACGGAGGAUGCAAGCGUUAUCCGGAUUUAUUGGGUUUAAAGGGUGCGCAGGCGGACCGGUAAGUCAGGGGUGAAACUUUACAGCUUAACUGUAAACGUGCCUUUGAUACUGUCGGACUAGAGUUUAAGAGACGUAAUUGGAAUGUGAUGUGUAGCGGUGAAAUGCUUAGAUAUAUCACAGAACGCCAAUCGUGAAGACAGAUUACGAACUUAAUACUGACGCUCAUGCACGAAAGCGUGGGGAUCAAACAGGA